This 636-nucleotide ribosomal RNA is filed under the name uncultured fungus. Its description in RNAcentral is "eukaryotic LSU rRNA". It matches the Rfam family "Eukaryotic large subunit ribosomal RNA", at positions 24 to 664 of the family's 3401-position model. The record is from RNAcentral. Lineage: Eukaryota; Fungi.
CCCGCUGAACUUAAGCAUAUCAAUAAGCGGAGGAAAAGAAACUAACAAGGAUUCCCCUAGUAACGGCGAGUGAAGAGGGAAAAGCUCAAAUUUAAAAUCUGGCAGUCUUUGACUGUCCGAGUUGUAGUCUAGAGAAGUGUUUUCCGUGUUGGACUGUACACAAGUUUCCUGGAUACGGAACAUCAUAGAGGGUGAGAAUCCCGUCCUUGACACAGACUACCAAUGCUUUGUGAUGCGCUCUCGAAGAGUCGAGUUGUUUGGGAUUGCAGCUCAAAAUGGGAGGUAAAUUCCUUCUAAAGCUAAAUAUUGGCAAGAGACCGAUAGCGAACAAGUACCGUGAGGGAAAGAUGAAAAGCACUUUGGAAAGAGAGUUAAACAGUACGUGAAAUUGUUAAAAGGGAAACGCUUGAAGUCAGUCAUGUUUGCUUGGACUCAACCUUGCUCCCGCUUGGUGCAUUUCCUUGUAGACAGGCCAGCGUCCAUGUUGUUUAUUGAAAAAGGGGAGAAAGAAUGUAGCUUCUUUGGGAGUGUUAUAGCUUUCUCUCGUAUGCAAUGACUGAUAUGGAGUGGUACAGCAUGCCUUUGGUGGUGCUUGUGCUGGCAUAAUGGCUUUAAACGACCCGUCUUGAAACACGG